GGUUGCGAUCAUACCAGCACUAAUGCACCGGAUCCCAUCAGAACUCCGCAGUGAAGCGUUUUUGGGCGAGAGUAGUACUAGGAUGGGUGACCCCCUGGGAAGUCCUCGUGUUGCAACCC
RNAcentral lists this ribosomal RNA (119 nucleotides) under Helianthus annuus (common sunflower). Lineage: Eukaryota; Viridiplantae; Streptophyta; Magnoliopsida; Asterales; Asteraceae. The record is from RNAcentral.